Molecule: ribosomal RNA, 756 nt
Filed under: uncultured bacterium
Lineage: Bacteria
Description: bacterial SSU rRNA
Rfam family: Bacterial small subunit ribosomal RNA
Source: RNAcentral
AGAGUUUGAUCCUGGCUCAGAAUCAACGCUGGCGGCGUGCCUAACACAUGCAAGUCGCACGAGAAAGGGGCUUCGGCUCUGAGUAAAGUGGCGCACGGGUGAGUAACACGUGAAUCAUCUACCCUCGAGUGGGGAAUAACCUAGAGAAAUCUGGGCUAAUACCGCAUAACACUUACGAGUCAAAGCAGCAAUGCGCUUGGGGAGGAGUUCGCGGCCGAUUAGUUAGUUGGCGGGGUAAUGGCCCACCAAGACGAUGAUCGGUAUCCGGCCUGAGAGGGCGCACGGACACACUGGAACUGAAACACGGUCCAGACUCCUACGGGAGGCAGCAGUGGGGAAUUUUGCGCAAUGGGGGAAACCCUGACGCAGCAACGCCGCGUGGAGGAUGAAAUCCCUUGGGAUGUAAACUCCUUUCGAUUGGGAAGAUUAUGACGGUACCAAUAGAAGAAGCCCCGGCUAACUUCGUGCCAGCAGCCGCGGUAAUACGAGGGGGGCAAGCGUUGUUCGGAAUUAUUGGGCGUAAAGGGUGCGUAGGCGGUUUGACAAGUCUUAUGUGAAAUCUAUGGGCUCAACCCAUAGUCUGCAUGAGAAACUGUUGAGCUUGAGUAUGGGAGAGGUGAGUGGAAUUUCCGGUGUAGCGGUGAAAUGCGUAGAUAUCGGAAGGAACACCUGUGGCGAAAGCGGCUCACUGGACCAUAACUGACGCUGAGGCACGAAAGCUAGGGGAGCAAACAGGAUUAGAUACCCCCGUAGUCC